AAUUCGUCCAAAGGUUACAUUUCCAUACCAAAAGUACAAUCCAAAGCCGAAGGCAUAAACAAAAGUAUUAGCAACCCUAAAACAAAAGUACAUCAAGAGGCUGCUCCAUUUUACCUCCGAAUUCAACCUGUUAAGGAAAACAAAUCUACAGGGUGAGCAAAACGCUCGUGAGGCCAAGAACACACAUGCAGACACAUAGUUCAGAUAACAAGCCCAAAUAACAAUUCAGGUAAUAACUUGCAAGUAAUUAAUAAGGCCAACAAAAUGUAACCAGAAACAAUUCAAGGAUAUGGAAGCUCUCAGGAGCUAAGUUCCACAUUUGCCGAUGUCAUUUGUAUAUCUCCCCGUGAUGACUCUCCGUCAACCGGGUUGAUAUUUUCAUAUCCGUAGUUCACCACUUACUUCUCAUCCGUCCACCAUACACCACUUCGAGCCCGCACUCACUACAAGAAAAAAGGUCAUUAGUGACAACAUUUCUUUGUGACGACAAAAAGUCGUCACAAAAUGAGGUUGUUUAGUCACGACUUUGAAGGUUGUCACAAUUGACUCAAAGCAACUGAGUUUUCAGUGACAACUUUUAAUUGUCGUCACAAAACUACUUCGCGCCAUGGGACUUGGAAGGCGCGAGUUUUGUGAUAGUGACGACUUGAUAAAAGUUGUCAGUAAUUCUACCACUUUCUUUGACAACUUUUCGUUGUUGUCACUGUUUAUGUUUAUUGACGACCAAUUUUUGUCAAUAAAACUAUAGUGUAGUUAGUGACAACAUAAGUAUCAUCACUAACUUGAACAUCUCUAAUGCAUUUAUUUAAUUGUGAACCUCAAUAUUAAUUUAUUUUUUUUAAAUUUGAUGAUUUAUUAACUAUGACUUUAUUUAAUUGUGAGCCUCAAUAUUAAUUUAAUUUUUUUUUAAAAUUUGAUGAUUUAUUAAACUAGUCAUAGUUACUUAAAUAUUAAUUUAAGUUAUUUACGGACGACUUUUUGUUGUCGUCACUGAUCACGAAAAAAAAAGUUAUUAGUGACAACAUUUUGUAGUGAUGACAAUAAGUCGUCACAAAAGGAGCUUCUUUAGUCGCGACACCUAAAGUUGUCACAAUUGCAUCAAAGCAACCAAAUGUUUAGUGACGACCCGUUAUUUUCGUCACAAACUACACUGCAAGAAAUAUGGUCAUUAGUGACAACAUUUUUUAGUGACGACAAAAGUCGUCACAAAACGUGGUUGUUUAGUGACGACAAGAAAAGUUGUCAUAAUUGCUCAAAGCAACUAAGUCUUCAGUGACGACCUUGAAAAAGUUGUCACUAAAAUGAUCUCUAUAGUUACAACUUCUAAUAUCGUCACUGUCACUCUACCAAUUCGGAUUUAGUGACAAGAAUUAAUUGUCACUGUUUAAAGUAAUUAUUUUUAAGUCACUUUCAUUAAUUCUACUGUGUCACCCUAACUUUUGCGAUUUAGCCCCAAAUGUUGUAAAAAAUUCCAUUAAUUCCAUUAUGAUACCUUAACUUUUACAAUUUAGCUCCAUAUGUAGUACACCGAUUUCUUUAAUUCUAUUAUUACUCCCUAACUUUUGUAAUUUAGUCCCAUAUGUAAUUCACCAAUUUCAUUAAUUCUAUUAUGGCACUCUAACUUUUGCAAUUUAACCCCCAUAUGUAAUACACCAAUUUUAUUAUUUCUAUUAUGGCACCCUAACUUUUACAAUUUAGCCCCUAUUUUUUUAUUAGGAAAUUGCGAAUGGUAUCUUGAUAAACUAUGCAUAAAUAUUUUAUAAUUUUCUCAAACUUAAGUAAUAAUUUGUUAUAAACUCUAAAGAUAUAUCUUUCAUUACAAUAGUUAUAAGGCAGGCAGGUCUUUUUAUCAAUGGAAUAAGAAAUUUAUGCCAGAUUUAUCUUUUGUACUACAUGCCAAGUAGUAUUAGCAAAGGAAUAACAAAGUACUACAAAGUAAUUAACAAAAUAGCCUUCAGAGAGUGUAGUUUAUGGGCAAAUGAGCAUUAUCUAUUCAAAGUACCAACUUUUUAUGGGUAUUUUACUUUCAAACAUAUAAUUUAUGAUAAAUUUAUAAAUGUUUGUAAGUAAAAUUCAAAAAGUGUUACACUGAUUUCUUACAAAACGAAAACUGGCAGGUUAUCUUUUCAACAUAAAUUAAAUUUUUUUUAAAAAAGAAAUGACCCAUAAAGUACCAACUCUUUGUGGGUUUCCUCCAUUACAUGAACAAAUAUUCUGCUCUUUAUGGGCAUUUCACUCUGAAUCAUUUAAUUUAUGUUAAAUACAUAAAUGUUUGUAAGUAAAAUUCAAAAAGUGUUGCACUAAUAUUUUUUUGAAAGGGAAACUGGUAGGUUUUGUAUUUAACAUAAAUUAAAUAUGUGAAAGCAAAAAAAAAAAAAUUACCCAUAAAUCUAUGUCUUGCAAAUCUAAACUAGUAAAAUAGUUUCAAACAAAAUUAAACAUUAAAAUAAACUGUAAUUUAUACACAUUAAAAUAUCUGUAAUUUAUACACAUUUUGCAACUACUACUUUGUGUUUUCUCUGUAAUGAAUUUUUUAACUAUUGAGAACUUAAGUUUUGUCUUGCAAAUCUAUACUAGUACAAUAGUUUUAAACAAAAUUAAACAUUAAAAUAAAUGUUUGAAAAAGAACAAAAGCACAUUUAUUACUUGCAGUAAUGUAACAAAAUUUUCUCAACCAUUAUCAAUAUUUUCACAAAACUAUUAAAAACUAGCAAUUGACAAUAUUAAAAAGGGAUAAUUUCAGAAACCUCCCCUGAGGUUUCUGACAAUUUCACUGACCUCCCCUGAGGUUUCCACAAUUACACUGACCUCCCCUGGCAGAACUUGGGACCCAAUUGCUGACAUCAUAUAAUGCAAAAUUACUAUUAUACCCAAGACAUUUUGUGUUUUGGAUAGUAUUGGAUUGCAUUUCUAUUUAUUUAAUGUAUGGUUAUGAAAUUUGUAAUGAUAUUACUCUUGGAUUGCAGUUUUGGUUUGCACCUUAUUACUGUUAAGGUUUUAUAAAUGACUGUUUUAGUUCUUGGAUUGCACCUUACCUCCAAAAUUUGGGAAUUUACCCAAAUUUUCCAUUUUCUAAUAUUCCUACAAAUAUGCAAAAUUAUGCAUAUCCCUCAAAUCUACCCAAUAUUAAUGUUUUGUUAAACUCUAAAUAACAAAAAUAUGAAAUAUAUUAUUUAAAUAUAUUUUAGUUACACACAAGUUGGAUGGGUAACUAGUGUGUCAGAGAGUUGCCAUAAUCUCCUUAAACCCGCAUGCGGGUUUAAAGAGUAUUCGGAUAUUCUCAUAUGCACCUAUGCAAAUCGAACCAACCGGAUAUCUUAUCCGUAUCCCAUUUUUUUAAAUAAAAAUCUUAUAAAUUUGAAAAAUAAAAUCAAAUUUAGAUGUAUUAGGGUUUUAAAAAUAUUAUAUAAGUGAUAAAAAUUUUAUAAAUUGUAAAAAUAAAAUCAAAUUUAAAUAAUUAAAUGUUAUAUUUGCAUAAGAAAUAAUACAAUAAUCAUAAUAAUGAUAAUACAAUAAUAUUGAUGUAAUAAAACUGCCAUUAAUUUAAAUAUUUACUUAUAAUGCCCAAAGAGCCUAAUUACCAAUUUUUUCUUCUCGCGCUCAAAUAUAACAUUAACCCGCAUGCGAGCUAACCUUGAAAUAGAAAAAACACAGAAUCCCGCUUGCUGCAAUAAUGUUCUUUAGUGCUGCAAUUAUAAGAAAUUAGUAUAAAAUAUUAGCAAAUUAUAAAAGUACAUUUUCAAUUAUAUGAAAUUAACAAAUUUUGCCACCUAUGUUGAUGAAAAUUUUUAUUUUUUGCUAAAAAAUAAAGAAUAAUACUAUAGCAUUAAAAGGCAAUUCGUCAGGCAAAUAUCCUUCAAAAGGCAAUGCUACUUUAAACAUAUUUUUCUACUUUUGCCCACGUCAAUUCAUCAGGAAAAGUUUUCGUUUUCCCACCAUUUUUUUACCACCAAUUUUUUUCCUUUUCGCCCAAAAAAGAAUUUAGACGGACAUUAACUUAUAGUAGGUUGCAAAAUGGCCUUCACAAAAGCCCCAAUCUUCAUCAUCCUCUUCCUCAUCACCCUCCUCCCGAUCUCCACCAAUUCUCAAGACCCCAGUUCGGAUUUGCUCUUGCAGCUCGAAUCCCUCCAAUCCCAGUCCCCCAAAGGCGGCGUUAUCCAUCUCACUGAUUCCCUCAAACGGAUUCUAUCCAUUCCAACUCAUCGUCCCUGUGCUUUCCUCGUCUUCUUCGACGCCCAACAACUCCACUCCAAACCCGAACUCUCCCUCCCUUCUCUCAAAUCCGAGUUCUCCCUCGUCUCUAAAUCCUUUUUAGCCAACAACCCUCCAACUUCUCACUCAAAACUCUUCUUCUUCGACAUCGAAUUUCAAGAAUUCCAGUCCUUUUUCGCCCUUUUCGGAGUAAAUUCUCUGCCCCACACCGAUGUCAAGAAAGACUCCGUCCAGAUAAAUGCAUCAGAUUUCUCGAGGCUCGCCGAAUCCAUGGCUGAAUUUGUCAAGGCCAAAACGAAGCUGAGCAUUGGGCCAAUUGAUCGCCCCUCUUUGAUUUCUAAGAAGCAAUUGAUGUUUCUCAUUGCUGUUAUUCUGAUUUCGGCUCCAUUCUUGGUGAAAAAAGUGAUUUAUGGGAACACCCUUUUGCACAAUAAGAGUAUUUGGAUGACCGGAGAGAUUUUUGUCUACUUUUUCAGUGUCUCCGGUUCAAUGCAUAACAUAAUUAGGAAAAUACCCAUGUUUUUGGUUGAUAGGAAUGACCCUGGGAAGUUGGUUUUCUUUUAUCAGGGGGUCCGGGAUGCAAUUGGGAGCUAAAGGGUUCGCGGUUGGGUUCUUGUACACUGUGGUGGGAUUGUUGCUGGCUUUUGUUACUCAUGUUAUUGUCUAUGUGAGGAAUAGGAAUGCUCAGAGGUUGGUGAUGUUUAUUUCCUCCUGGGCUGUUCAGAUGAUUUUUGUUGGCAUUCUUGUCGCAUUUCUGGUUUCUUGAUUUUAGUUUGUUCUACCGUGUUAGUUUUUGUUAGUGUUUCAGAUAAGGAAAAUUGACGUUUUAUUUUUGGUGUAAAUUAACAAUGUACCUUUCAUUUUGCUUUUGUGCUCAUAUUCUGUAUUUGCAACUGUUGCUAAAAAAAUUGAAUCAUGUAAUUGGCAGUGAUUUAUGUAUCUUUUUGGUGUUGUCUUGGUGAAAUGCUUGUAAUAAGCAUAGCAAUCACUUGUUUUCUCGUUUUCUAUGGUAUCUGUUCUAGAUCUUCUUUCACAUGUAGAUAUGGCGUUGAGAUAAGUUUCCGACUAAAUGAGGAAAGGUGCAAUUUUGAAUGGUAAACCUGCGGCCAAAUUGCAAAUCACAUGCCAAAUUAUGAACUAGAGCUAUAAGUUGGCAUUUGCAGUUGGUAGUGGGUGUUUCUUCAGGAGUUGGAAGAAUUUGAUUCACAAUUCCAUAACAUUUUAAAAGGCUAUACUACGUACUCAGUAAUUAGACUAGAGAGGAUGAUGCUUGAGUGCUAGAGCUUAGUGCAAGAGGAUACUGCUAUAUUAUUUGUGAUAUAAGUAAUUCUCAAUCAACUUGCACAACGGUGAUCUUUAUGGUAGUUUUCUAGUUCGAGUAAGAAUAAGUACUUUGUAAAAUCUGUUUUGCUUGCUUUCCUGGAAUUUAAGUUUCAUGUCUUACAUGGUAGUUUGUUCUCCAUAUAGCAUUAUUUUAUACUAUAUAAUCACAAACUUUUUGCUGGAUGUAGGUUGGAUUUUCUGUUAACGGAGUAAUAAUACUAACUUUUAUGUGGGUUUUGAAGGCAUUCCUUGAGGUAAUACCUUUUCUUUUCACAUGAAUGGUUCCCAUUUUUGGUGCCAUUCUUGAAGUAAAUUUCAUUGUGAAUGUUUUGCAAUGUCCCGCCACUUGCCUAACUUACUAGUUUGAUUGGAAUACAAUAUUAAGGGGUGCUGGUUUUCUAUGGAAUUAAUACACCAUGACAAACAGCAAAAGUAAUUUCAGAGAUCUAGAACAAGAAAGUUGUUUUUUGCUUUUAAAUGGCAAAGAAACAUUCUAGUUAUGUUGGUACACAUUGCUCCUACUUGACACCUUAUAUCAUGAUCGACAUUACUUUGGUUAUCAUACUUGACACCUUGUAUCCUCUGUGGUGCAUUAGUUUGGAUUGUUUUGGUUUAGUUUAGUUUAGUUUAUUUGAAUGUUUUAGCUAAGCAAGUGAACUGAAGUUGCUUUUCCUUUAGUGUUGUGCUUAUCGUCUUAUCAACUGGUUAUAUUGUUCAUAGCAGUACUUAUAUCAGUACUUGUUAUAGUAGUGCUUGUUGCCUUAUCAACUUGUUAUAUUAUUCCUUUGAGGCUGAAGUUUAAUAGCAGUACUUAUUUCUUGAGCUAAUUUGGUGCAUUAGUUUGGGCCUGAUUUUGAUUUUCUUUGGGGCUGAUUUUGAAUGUCCAGCUUUAAUUAUUGAGGUUCUUAUUGGAUUGCAAAUUUUAGCUAAGCAACCGAACUACAAGAGAUAUAGUGAAAUUGGGAAAUGGCAAGGUUUAGUGAAAUUUUGUCUGAUGUUAAAAAUUCCCCCUUGUGUUGAAAUUUGGUAUUUUUUUUUCACGACAAAACAGCCUAGCAAAUUGUCACACUUAAAAGACAGUAUCUUUUAUCGGAACAAAACAAUGACUAAAUUCGUUUAUAUUAUUCCAAUCUUGUUUGCCACAUCCAAAGCAUCGUAGUCUGGAGUCAACCGAACAUAUGCUUUCUUUGUUCCAUCAGGCCUGAUCAUAGUGUUCACUUUCUUGAUCUGUAUGUCGUACAUCUUCUUCACUGCAUCUUUGAUUUUUUCUUAUCAGCACGGAUGUCAACUAUGAAUACCAUGGUAUUGUUAUCUUCAAUCUUUUUCAUGGCAGAUUCAGUAGUCAAAGGAUAUUUGAGAAUCUGAUAAUGGUCCAACUUAUUCCUAGGAGGAGCACUGAUGCGUGGGUACUUCGGGUUCCCGUCCUUUUUCAAUGUCUUAGGACGAUGGAAGGUAACUUUGGUCCGGAUCUUCUUGGCUUUCUUCUUAAAAGUUGUCCCAGAUUUGACAAAUUUGGCAACCUUGGCUAUAGGGUGUUGUUGAACUUCAUUAUGAUAUUUGAAUGCUUAUAUGAUAUUUUGACAUUUCGUAAUGCAAUGGAUGCAUUCAUUUGCUAAUUAUAAAUCAUUGUCAUUUUUUUCCAUUUAUAGAUAUAAUUGUUGUAGGAAAAUUUUCAAUUUUCAUGGUGAUAAAGAGUUAUCAUUGAAUCAGAAUUUUUCAUUAAUAACAAUAUAUAGUUGCACUUAAAUGUUCGCUUUUGUUUAUAUGCUGAUUUUAAGUUUAAGGAUGGAGUGUAAUUACUUGUAAGAUUUUUUUUGUUUAUUGUACCAGUUGUCACUAGAUUUGGUUCAAGAAUGGCUAGCAGAGAAUGCCAAGGAAUCAAUAUUGGGACAGGACAUGAGUAUUAGUGGAAUAGCAACUUAUCAGCCAUUUGAUGGAUUGAUGGAGUUGAAAGUGGUAAGUACUUUGACAUUACGUCUCAUUUCUAUCUGUUGUGCAGUUAAUACUUGUUGAGUUGCGUAAAAACCUCUGAAGUUUAUUGCAUUUCCUGCUUCUACUGUGCAAAUUUUUCUGAAGCAAUUUCUGUUCUGAAGUGCUAUUGACUCUAUUAAAAUUGAAGGAGAAACUUCCAUGCAGCAAGUAAUUUGAAUGAAUGCCUUCUAUCUGUUUUAUGGUUAAUACUUGCUGGGUUGCAUAAGAAUCUCUAAAGUUUAUUGCAUUUUCUGCUUCUACUGUGUUAAUUUUUCUGAAGCAAUAUCCAUUCUGAAGUGCUAUUGACUCUGCUAAAAUUGAAGUAGAAACUUCCCAUGCGGCAAGUAAUUCGAUUGAAUGGCUGCUUUGAUGAUGUAUAUUUAAUUCAUAUGAAGUAUCUUUUGGUAAGUGCUUUAGAAUGAGUAGAAUCUUGGUGAAGAAUCUCCACUUGCGAUACAAAAUUGAGUGUGAAGCUAGUUGAUAUCCUGAUUCUAUCUAAACUAAAGACAGAAAAACAAGGGAAAGACAUUCGAAAUGAAGCAAAUAUGUCCUGCAUGAGUCUAAAUCAUUCUGUCAAUGCACAAAAUCGUGUCAUGAAGACAAUCUUUGGCAGAUGUCACAGCACAAAUUAGUCAUGUAUGUUGUACUACUUCUUUGAACUACUGGAAUUUGCAAUGCGUUCCAUUGGUAGCAGAGUACAGGCAAGAAAAUGAAAAACUAGAUUAAAAAAAUUCCAAACGUAUUUAAGACUCAGGGCUUGCUUUUGCCUGCCUAAAGUCUCAAAAAUCUUGAAAAUGAUUACUGUUUCAUGUUUUUUGGUAAUCAAUUUGUGGUUUUCAAACAAUGAAUUACAAGUUUGGUCACUACAAUUUGUUGUAUGUGAUUUGUCACUUGUAAAUAAUGGCUUUGACAUUCCUGUGUAUCCUAACCAAAGUAUUGUGUCUGCAUAAUUAUGAUAUUGACAAAUGUGCUUAAUGAACACUAGUUGCUAACUCACUUUAGUUAAAGAUGAUAGUUUUGAAUAUGUUUCUGCUUCUUGUAGUAGCACUUUCUCUCCCCCUGCCACUGUUGGAGUCUUAAAAGUAAUUAUUCUGGCAAUAAGUCCACAGGUUACUAUUAACAUGGACUCGGAUAAAGUUUGACUUUUUGGCUCUAGGUGUAGCUCUUAUAGCUUCCAGCUAUUAGGAUAUCCAAUUUGUCUCUUCAAUUAGCCAACUUGCAAUCAUGUGUACGGUGCUUGGACUUGCUUUUUAUCUUGUUGCUGUAUAUGCUGAUUCACUAUUCUUGUAGGCAGUAGUUGGAUUCAUGUCUCAAGUAAUGGACAAAUUAGUAUCCUUCAAAAGUGCUUGGUAGGUGACAAUAUUAACUUGUAGUAUCAAGCCUCAAAAGUGCUUGGUAGGUGAUAAGGCUGCUUUUUCUUGUUUAUUAGACCUUAUGUAUAGUUACAUAUUUUUAGAUAUAUGAAAUCCUAUGACAUUCAAAGCUUCAAAGACUACUUUUGGUCUAAAACACAGUGAAGUUUGCAAAGUUGUUUCUCAUAAAUGUGGAAUCGUUUGUUGCUGUCCUUUGACAUCUUAAUAUUAAAAUAAAGAAGUGGAACAAUUCUGCCCAUAUAAUCCUUGGCUCUUAAUGAAUGUUAUUAAACUUCCAUCCUCUAGUAGACUCUGUUUCCGAACUAUAAUGUCUCUUUUUCUACUCUUUGUAUAGCCACUAUCUAGAUGAGACUUAAAACAAAUGAUUCACUUUAUUUUUUGGUGACUCCUUAACUAAUUUUCCUUGUUUUAAUUUUUCUAUCAUCUACUAAUAACUUUACUAUUUUAUUGCAGAUAUAUUGCUCAUUUUAGAGGUUUGGAAGAUUAGCAGUACGGCUUACGUGUCGACUCAAAAACUAUGGUUAUAGUGCUAUCUUAAGUUUAGAAAAUGUUUUGGGACUUGGAAUUGUUUUUUAGUGUAGCCUUGACUUAUAUGGCAAAAUUUGCUCUAUUGAAACUUAUCAAACUAUUUGUAGUGUGAUGUUGCACUUAUUUAUGACAUUUGAAUAUUUAAUAUGUUAUUAUGGCAUUUCCUAUUGUAACGGGUGUCUACGUUUGUUAUUUAUUAAACAUUGCUGAUGUUUUCAUUUUUUAGAUAUUAUUGUAGUAGGAAAAUCAUCAAACUACACAUUGCAAGGUGUUGUAAAUGAGUAGCAUUUCUCAAGCAGGCUGUCUUUAUUGACAAUUGUUGUUGUCACUGAAUCAAAACUAUUCAUUGAUAAGAAGUUGUUGUCACAGUUGAUAAGGGGUUUAUUGACAACAAAGUUGUCACUAAUUAAUAUAUACACUGACUAUGUUGCUUCAUGCAUCAUUGACAAGAAAGCAUGUCGUCACUAAAUUUGUAGCUUUUAUUGACAACAUAUCUUGUCAUAAAAAAGUUUUUAUUCACUGACGACUUUAAAGUCGUCACUGUAUACUUUUACCGACGGAGAUUCAGUGACGACUCUGUGACAACCGAAAUGUUGUCAAUAAAAGUCAUCAGUGACGACUUUUUGCUUUUUUGUGACGAAAAGUAGUUGUCAUUGAAGACCAAAAUUCUUGUAGUGACUACAUUUAUAAGGCGAUACUAUACGAGUAUGCCAAGCGAGAUCUCUCAAUAGAUCAAGCUUAUCAUUUGAGUCUCAUGGCUCACCGAGGUUCCCGACCAAGCCCAUGCCGGCUCGAGUUCCAAGGUCGGCCUAUGAGUUUGGGCGUCCCCCAUUUGUCAUGUAAAUAUCGAGGAGAUUCACUCCAUCGACGUAUGCAAUCAUAGCAUACCAUUUCAUGUAUUCAAGCAUUUGAUAGGUUUAAGCAGACAUUUCAAGUCAUGUAAACCAAACAAAUCAUGUUAAACAUGAGUCAUUCGUUUCGAAUGAGAACGAGUGCGAUCAAGUACACACUCGACUCCAUUUUGUCAAAAUCAGUUAAGCUAAACAUGAAAUCAGGUGAAUCAAGCAUGAAUCAAGACUUUAGGGUUCAAGUAGGCAUACACUUGACACUCACCAAGUUAUGCAAGCAAGUAAAUUGGAGGAAGAGUUCAAACUUCCACAGUAGGGUCCUCUUGGAGGUCCUCGUGCGUGCCUGAGCAAAUAAUAGUGAAUUAUCACCCAUAUCCCAAAUAUCGAGGAAUAAUUCGUUCACUAGUAUUACUCUAGGAAAUUCAGUGAAAAUGAACCUCAAUUACUCGUAAAUCGAGAUUCGAGAGAGGUUUGAUAACAUUCAACACUAUUUAAGUCUUUAUCUAGGAAAUCGGGGAUAAAACGUUUAGAUAAUAUCAAAAGAAUAAAGAGUUCUUGAAAAACUCUAUUUCCUUGAAAGUUGGAAAAAUUUCAGUUUUGUUAUGAAUCUUAGAAAAAUCGUAACUCACUCGGCAUAAGUCAAGAAUUGGAAAACUUUAUACCGUUGAAAACCUCUUAGAAAGUACUGCAAGUUCCUAGAAGACACUUUUCCAUGAAUCGAAGUGCAAAGUGCUCAAAAAUGAGCCUAAAGUUUCUGUUCCAAAUCACCCAGGAUUGAGCCGGGGUUGGUUUUUCGCUAACUUUGAAAAUUUGGCAGAAUUCACUCGUUGCAAACCAGCCCUUGAAAUUUAUAGCUCAAUUAGAGGUACAAGUAAGGUUUAGGUCAGAACAAACGGAUCGAGAAUCGGAGUUUCGAGCACCAAGAUAUGGUAGCUCAAAGUUGGGAAAAAUUCAAGACUGUUACAAAAUUUCCAGAUUUGGUUCCAACUUUGGACCUUUAGUUAAGUGCGAAACGGACUUGGAUUGACACCAAAUUUUGCAGUAUAAUACUUCCAUAUGAAGGUUAUCUCUCUAUCAAAUUUCAUGGAAAAAUACCCUCGGAAGGGGGUCAUUCAAUCAACCAAAGUUUGGAAAAUCCUUAAGGCAAUCUGUCCAAAUCUAAGAUUUUCAAAACGAGCAGUCGCCGUAUUUUGAUCAUAACUCUCUCAAUUUAACUCGGAAUUGGGAAUGGUUGAUAGUGUUAGAAAAUAAAUUCAUAGGGCUACAACUUCACAGAAGAAAUCGUUCCAUGUUUCGGCAUGCAACUGGUUCAAAAUCAAGCCUCAAGUUGCAGCAUCAUCAAAUCAUUUCGGCAGAACGGAGAAACAGGACAGUCGACUUCAGAUGAAUGGUGUGGCUCACACACAUGAAACCAGAAUGUGCAUUAUACACCGUUGGAAACAUGGGAACGUAUAGUUUCAAAUUCCGCUGACGGAACUUGAUUUCGACAUCGGAGCAUGGAGUUAUGGACAAAAUACAACCACUGGUCUGGAUUACGGCGAAACCGUUUUCCAGAUUACCAAUUUUUGAAAUAAAUUCGUUUGAGCAACCAAAACUCAAUAUUUUUCAACGAAAUUUUGUACACAACUUCUAAAACAUGUAAACAACAUAAUCAAGCCUUUAAAUCCUCAAUUAUCUGCAGUAAAGUGACCGAACAGAGCAGGGGUAAAAUGGGAACUUUUUGUUUCGAGAGUUAAACAACGUUUCUGUCAAGAAUGCACCUUUAAUCUACUUCCUUAAGCUCUAAUUCAGCAAAUAAACCAUCAUCAAACAUCAUCACAGCCAUCAACCAAAGUGGGAGUUCAUAGAGCCCACAUUUCCAACAAUACAAGCUAUUAAAGCAAAGAUUCCAACUCAAAUGCGUAAAUCAACUUCCAUAAGACAAGUUGAAGGUGUUAGAUUGCUACCUACUUUGAUGGCUGGUUUGGACAGAUUUUUCGGUCCUUUGAAGCUUGAAGAAACCGUGAAAGCUCCUCCCUUUUUCAGCCUAUGUUGUUGUCCAAGUGAAAAGCUAAAUGAAUGUGAAGUUUGAUGAGAAUCUAUGGAAGUUUUGGUAGGAAUUUGGUUGAGUUUUGGAAGAAAGGAAAUGAUGAAGCUUCGGUUGUUCCUUUGCUGCAGUCUAGCCGUCCAUUGCAGCAGAGGAAAGGAAAUGAAUUGCGGUUCCGAAGCCUUUGCGUAUAAGAGACGCUUGACGUCAAAUCUUUUAAUACGUCAAAUCAAUUAUAACUAGUACCCUACAC
RNAcentral lists this long non-coding RNA (12534 nucleotides) under Coffea arabica (coffee). RNAcentral describes it as "long non-coding RNA (CARA_LNC008140)". Lineage: Eukaryota; Viridiplantae; Streptophyta; Magnoliopsida; Gentianales; Rubiaceae. The record is from RNAcentral.